GAUGAACGCUGGCGGCGUGCCUAAUACAUGCAAGUCGAGCGAACAGACGAGGAGCUUGCUCCUCUGACGUUAGCGGCGGACGGGUGAGUAACACGUGGAUAACCUACCUAUAAGACUGGGAUAACUUCGGGAAACCGGAGCUAAUACCGGAUAAUAUAUUGAACCGCAUGGUUCAAUAGUGAAAGACGGUUUUGCUGUCACUUAUAGAUGGAUCCGCGCCGCAUUAGCUAGUUGGUAAGGUAACGGCUUACCAAGGCAACGAUGCGUAGCCGACCUGAGGGGGUGAUCGGCCACACUGGAACUGAGACACGGUCCAGACUCCUACGGGAGGCAGCAGUAGGGAAUCUUCCGCAAUGGGCGAAAGCCUGACGGAGCAACGCCGCGUGAGUGAUGAAGGUCUUCGGAUCGUAAAACUCUGUUAUUAGGGAAGAACAAAUGUGCAAGUAACUAUGCACGUCUUGACGGUACCUAAUCAGAAAGCCACGGCUAACUACGUG
RNAcentral lists this ribosomal RNA (497 nucleotides) under uncultured bacterium. RNAcentral's name for it is "partial 16S ribosomal RNA". It matches the Rfam family "Bacterial small subunit ribosomal RNA", at positions 28 to 507 of the family's 1533-position model. The record is from RNAcentral.